ACGGGUGAGUAACGCGUGGGAACGUACCCUUUACUACGGAAUAACGCAGGGAAACUUGUGCUAAUACCGUAUGUGCCCUUCGGGGGAAAGAUUUAUCGGUAAGGGAUCGGCCCGCGUUGGAUUAGCUAGUUGGUGGGGUAAAGGCCUACCAAGGCGACGAUCCGUAGCUGGUCUGAGAGGAUGAUCAGCCACAUUGGGACUGAGACACGGCCCAAACUCCUACGGGAGGCAGCAGUGGGGAAUAUUGGACAAUGGGCGCAAGCCUGAUCCAGCCAUGCCGCGUGAGUGAUGAAGGCCCUAGGGUUGUAAAGCUCUUUCACCGGAGAAGAUAAUGACGGUAUCCGGAGAAGAAGCCCCGGCUAACUUCGUGCCAGCAGCCGCGGUAAUACGAAGGGGGCUAGCGUUGUCCGGAAUUACUGGGCGUAAAGCGCACGUAGGCGGACAUUUAAGUCAGGGGUGAAAUCCCAGAGCUCAACUCUGGAACUGCCUUUGAUACUGGGUGUCUUGAGUAUGGAAGAGGUGAGUGGAAUUCCGAGUGUAGAGGUGAAAUUCGUAGA
This 557-nucleotide ribosomal RNA is filed under the name uncultured Rhizobium sp. RNAcentral's name for it is "bacterial SSU rRNA". It matches the Rfam family "Bacterial small subunit ribosomal RNA", at positions 102 to 694 of the family's 1533-position model. Lineage: Bacteria; Pseudomonadati; Pseudomonadota; Alphaproteobacteria; Hyphomicrobiales; Rhizobiaceae. The record is from RNAcentral.